Triticum urartu is the source of this 382-nucleotide non-coding RNA. Lineage: Eukaryota; Viridiplantae; Streptophyta; Magnoliopsida; Poales; Poaceae. The record is from RefSeq and is a predicted model, not a curated record.
CUCCCAGAUUCUUGGCAGCAAGAACACUGCAAGGCAAUCAAAACCCGUGUGAGGUGGUCGCAAUAUCAGAAGGAUCGGACUUUAUCUACACCCCCCUUGAUGAUAGAGACAGUUCGAUAGAAAAUGCGUUGAAUGCCCCUUGCUUUGAGAUGUCACUGAUGAGAUGUACCAGGAGAACAAAUAUAUCAUAUAAUAAUAGGUGUCUCGGUGGAGUUCAAAGGUGUACAGUGAUUUUAAUAUGCAGAAGAUGCCUUUGCUGAUGCUUAUAACGGGUUUAUUGAAGAACAGGAUAAUUAAAAAAAAGAAGCAACUAAGUGGAUAGUAAGCAUAAGAUGCCUGAAGAGUAAACAUACUUACCAGUGCCUGAGAUAUAGACGACAGG